CAGCCCUGAUUUGGAUCAUCUCGUUGAAGCAGCCUCAGUGCAGAACUCUGGCACUGUCCAACGUUGCCAGCUAGAUCUCAGCUGGCUGGAGCGUCUUCCUCAUACCAGUGAGUUCCUUCUAAAAUCUCCUCUCUACAAACGGGAGUGGGGGGCAAACUGUACCUCUCCCCCCAAUGUGGUCCUGACAUCAGAGCACAAGUAAGCUUCAGAGCCUUCUGACUGUCCUUGAAGAUAACAACUACUGAUUUUGCACCCUGCUCAUCAUUGUAGUUUCCGGACAUGUACAGCUGGAUCUGGGGGAAACUUACUUAACAGUAAGGUGAUCAAAUUUAAGCCCCUAAAAAUGCUUUUUGUAAAUCAAAAAGCAGAUGUAUCAAACAUCUUUCACUGAUGAGAAAGCUCAAGCUAGAAUUUCUUCUCAUGAGUGUUCCAGCCUGGUUUUCAGAUGAAGGAGUUCAGAUAGGUACAUGGAUUUUUGCAUAAUUAUCUGGACUGAACCUCUGAGAAUGUGAGACUCACCAAUCAAGUUGUUUCUUCCAGAAGAGAUUAGUUACCAGAAGUUACCAGAGACUUUACAAGCCAGCAGUCUGCUACAUCACUGCUACAAACCUGAUCCAAGAACGUUGCAAUGAGUGUAUGUAUAUGACUUCCUUAUCCAU
Long non-coding RNA from Malaclemys terrapin pileata, 659 nucleotides. RefSeq lists it as uncharacterized. NCBI's taxonomy places the organism in Eukaryota, Metazoa, Chordata, Testudines, Emydidae. The record is from RefSeq and is a predicted model, not a curated record. The transcript has 4 exons.